Molecule: ribosomal RNA, 3549 nt
Filed under: Escherichia coli P0298942.10
Lineage: Bacteria; Pseudomonadati; Pseudomonadota; Gammaproteobacteria; Enterobacterales; Enterobacteriaceae
Description: partial 23S ribosomal RNA
Source: RNAcentral
GACAACGACUACGCGCAGCUGGUGAAGGACGUUAAUGAUGAACAACUGGCGCUGAUCGCCACCAUGAAAGCAGGCGUCAGCUAUGUGGAUUACCACAUCCAGUUCCAUCAGCGCAUCGCCAAACUGCUGCGUAAACAUCAAAUCAUCACCGAUAUGAGUGAAGAAGCGAUGGUCGAAAACGAUCUUACCGGGCCGUUUAUGCCGCAUGGUAUCGGCCAUCCGCUGGGCCUGCAGGUGCAUGACGUCGCUGGUUUUAUGCAGGAUGAUAGCGGUACGCACCUCGCGGCACCGGCAAAAUAUCCGUACCUGCGCUGCACCCGUAUUCUCCAGCCGGGCAUGGUGUUAACCAUCGAACCGGGUAUCUACUUCAUCGAAUCGCUACUGGCACCGUGGCGUGAAGGGCAGUUCAGCAAGCACUUCAACUGGCAGAAAAUUGAAGCACUGAAACCGUUCGGCGGCAUUCGUAUCGAAGACAACGUGGUGAUCCACGAAAACAACGUGGAAAACAUGACCCGGGAUCUGAAACUGGCGUGAUGGAAAGCUGGUUAAUUCCUGCGGCACCGGUCACGGUCGUUGAAGAGAUCAAAAAGAGCCGCUUCAUAACGAUGUUGGCGCAUACCGAUGGCGUUGAGGCGGCGAAAGCGUUUGUUGAAUCGGUGCGGGCAGAACACCCCGAUGCCCGGCACCAUUGCGUGGCGUGGGUCGCGGGUGCGCCGGAUGAUUCUCAACAGCUGGGUUUCUCUGACGACGGGGAGCCGGCGGGAACGGCAGGUAAACCGAUGCUCGCCCAGCUAAUGGGCAGCGGCGUCGGGGAAAUUACCGCUGUGGUAGUGCGCUACUACGGCGGCAUAUUGCUUGGCACCGGUGGGUUAGUGAAAGCGUAUGGCGGCGGCGUGAAUCAGGCGCUGCGCCAGCUAACGACCCAACGCAAGACGCCAUUAACCGAAUAUACUUUGCAAUGUGAAUAUCAUCAGUUAACCGGCAUUGAAGCGUUGCUGGGGCAGUGUGACGGCAAAAUUAUCAACAGUGAUUAUCAGGCAUUCGUUCUGCUGCGGGUGGCGCUUCCGGCGGCGAAAGUGGCUGAAUUUUCCGCAAAGCUGGCGGAUUUUAGCCGUGGUUCAUUGCAAUUGUUAGCGAUUGAAGAAUAAUCCCCACUUCGUUUUGCAGAACUAAGGAAGCGGCAGAGAUGCAUUUUCGCGCCAUUACCCGAAUCGUUGGACUACUGGUCAUCUUAUUUUCAGGGACCAUGAUUAUCCCUGGGCUGGUAGCACUCAUCUACCGGGAUGGAGCGGGCCGCGCUUUUACCCAGACCUUUUUUGUCGCCCUCGCCAUUGGCUCUAUGCUGUGGUGGCCGAACCGCAAAGAGAAAGGCGAACUUAAAUCCCGUGAGGGGUUUCUGAUAGUGGUGCUGUUCUGGACCGUGCUGGGUAGCGUCGGUGCGCUCCCUUUUAUCUUCUCGGAAAGCCCGAACCUCACGAUUACCGAUGCGUUUUUUGAAUCUUUCUCUGGCCUGACCACUACGGGAGCCACUACGCUGGUGGGGCUGGAUUCGCUCCCUCACGCCAUCCUCUUUUAUCGCCAGAUGCUGCAAUGGUUUGGCGGGAUGGGGAUCAUCGUGUUGGCGGUUGCGAUACUGCCUAUCCUCGGCGUGGGUGGGAUGCAGCUCUAUCGCGCAGAAAUGCCCGGCCCGCUGAAAGAUAACAAAAUGCGCCCGCGAAUUGCGGAAACGGCGAAAACCCUGUGGUUGAUUUAUGUCUUGCUGACCGUCGCCUGUGCGCUGGCGUUGUGGUUUGCCGGAAUGGAUGCCUUUGAUGCCAUCGGCCAUAGCUUUGCGACUAUCGCUAUUGGCGGCUUCUCGACACAUGAUGCCAGUAUCGGUUAUUUCGAUAGCCCGACUAUUAACACUAUCAUUGCUAUCUUCCUGCUGAUCUCCGGCUGUAACUACGGUCUGCACUUUUCACUGUUAAGUGGGCGUAGUCUGAAGGUUUAUUGGCGCGAUCCGGAAUUUCGCAUGUUUAUCGGCGUACAGUUUACGCUGGUGGUUAUUUGUACCCUCGUACUGUGGUUUCAUAAUGUCUACAGUUCGGCGCUGAUGACAAUUAACCAGGCGUUUUUCCAGGUGGUGUCGAUGGCGACAACCGCCGGGUUUACAACUGACAGCAUUGCCCGCUGGCCGCUCUUUUUGCCGGUACUGCUUUUAUGUUCAGCCUUUAUCGGCGGUUGCGCCGGGUCAACGGGCGGUGGCCUGAAGGUGAUCCGCAUCCUGCUGCUGUUUAAGCAGGGGAACCGUGAGCUGAAACGACUGGUGCAUCCGAACGCCGUCUAUAGCAUUAAGCUGGGGAAUCGCGCACUGCCGGAACGUAUCCUCGAAGCCGUUUGGGGAUUUUUCUCCGCCUAUGCAUUGGUGUUUAUUGUCAGUAUGCUGGCGAUUAUCGCCACGGGCGUGGAUGACUUUUCUGCCUUUGCGUCGGUUGUUGCGACAUUGAAUAACCUGGGGCCAGGGCUUGGCGUGGUUGCUGAUAACUUUACCAGUAUGAACCCGGUGGCUAAAUGGAUCCUGAUUGCCAACAUGCUGUUUGGUCGUCUCGAGGUCUUUACAUUGCUGGUGCUCUUUACCCCGACUUUCUGGCGUGAAUGAUGGAGUAAUACGUGAAAACAUUAAUUCUUUUCUCAACAAGGGACGGACAAACGCGCGAGAUUGCCUCCUACCUGGCUUCGGAACUGAAAGAACUGGGGAUCCAGGCGGAUGUCGCCAAUGUGCACCGCAUUGAAGAACCACAGUGGGAAAACUAUGACCGUGUGGUCAUUGGUGCUUCUAUUCGCUAUGGUCACUACCAUUCAGCGUUCCAGGAAUUUGUCAAAAAACAUGCGACGCGGCUGAAUUCGAUGCCGAGCGCCUUUUACUCCGUGAAUCUGGUGGCGCGCAAACCGGAGAAGCGUACUCCACAGACCAACAGCUACGCGCGCAAGUUUCUGAUGAACUCGCAAUGGCGUCCCGAUCGCUGCGCGGUCAUUGCCGGGGCGCUGCGUUACCCACGUUAUCGCUGGUACGACCGUUUUAUGAUCAAGCUGAUUAUGAAGAUGUCAGGCGGUGAAACGGAUACGCGCAAAGAAGUUGUCUAUACCGAUUGGGAGCAGGUGGCGAAUUUCGCCCGAGAAAUCGCCCAUUUAACCGACAAACCGACGCUGAAAUAAGCAUAAAGAAUAAAAAAUGCGCGGUCAGAAAAUUAUUUUAAAUUUCCUCUUGUCAGGCCGGAAUAACUCCCUAUAAUGCGCCACCACUGACAUGGAACAACGGCAAACACGCCGCCGGGUCAGCGGGGUUCUCCUGAGAACUCCGGCAGAGAAAGCAAAAAUAAAUGCUUGACUCUGUAACGGGAAAGCGUAUUAUGCACACCCCGCGCCGCUGAGAAAAAGCAAAGCGGCACUGCUCUUUAACAAUUUAUCAGACAAUCUGUGUGGGCACUCGAAGAUACGGAUUCUUAACGUCGCAAGACGAAAAAUGAAUACCAAGUCUCAGGAGUGAACACGUAAUUCAUUACGAAGUUU